This 1038-nucleotide non-coding RNA is filed under the name Trichomonas vaginalis G3. RNAcentral describes it as "Eukaryotic large subunit ribosomal RNA". It matches the Rfam family "Eukaryotic large subunit ribosomal RNA", at positions 1732 to 2988 of the family's 3401-position model. The record is from Rfam by way of RNAcentral. Lineage: Eukaryota; Parabasalia; Trichomonadida; Trichomonadidae.
CAGGCGAACUGCGGGCGUUCUGCUGGCAAAACAUAGCUUCGGUUAUGUCAAUGGCUAUUGGAUUGGUCCAUGAAGCGAAAAAUAGUUUACUGUGUCACUCGUACCCGAUAACCGCAUCAGGUCUUCUAGGUAAGUAGCCUAUGGCCAUUGAGGCAUGAUAGUUCAGGGAAUUCGGCCAAUUAGAGCUGUAACUUCGGGAUAAAGCUUGGCUCUGAUGAAAAUCAGAACCGAUUGUUACGCGGAGAGCCCAACUGUUUAAUAAAAACGUAGUGUCGCGCUGUGGUAGUAUAGCCAGUGAACGCGACAUGAAUCCUGCUCAGUGCUGUGUCUGUUAAUAUGGUUCAAGCCAACGAAGCACCGGUAAAUAGCUGGGGUAACUAUGACUCUUAUCAAAGUAGCGAAAUACCUCGUCACUUAAUUAGUGACCUGCAUGAACGGAGCUAUGAGGUUCUCACUGUCCCAAACUGUCUCUCAGCGAACCAACUGUAGUGGGAACGGUCACUAGAUAUCCAGCGGGGAAAGAAGACCCUGUAGAGCUUCACUUUGGUCUAGUCUUGUAUAGUUCCUGCGGGGGUGUAGACUAGGUGGGAGAGCAAUCGAUUCUGAAAAACCACUACCCUGUUUGGAAUUAUGCUUACCUAUCACAAGGAAUAGGACUAGAUAGAAAGUUUGGCUGGGGCGGCACACCUUCGAAAGAGCAGCGAAGGUGUCCUAAGUUGAGCUCAGUGAGGACAGAAAUCUCACGUUGAGGAUAAGGCCAAAAGCUCAAUUUACUGUGCCUUUUUGUACUAGGAUCAGUUACGAAAGUAAGGCCUAACGAUCCCUAAAUAGCCUCAGGUGCGUGAGGAUUGGGGUGACAGACAAGUUACCUCCGGGACAACUGGCUUGUGGCUGCUAAGAGAUCAAAUCAACGCAGCUUUUUGAUUCUUCGAUGUCGGCUCUUCCUAUCCUAGUGAUGUACAAGUUGCUAAGGGUCGGAUUGUUCACCCGUAUUAGGGAUCGUGAGCUGGGUUUAGACCGUCGUGAGCCAGGUUUGUU